GGAUCAUAUGUUGUCGUAUGACGAGAUGGUGAACAAAAAUGAAGCAUUUGUUGGAAGUAAAGCUACACAUUUUAGAGAUCGUCUUAGAUCAAACCCUGACUUAUAAACUUCUUCUGCAUUCAGAAAUAUAACAAGAAAAUAAUACUGUAAACAGGAGUGGAAGAUGUAAAACUAUGCAGACAUGCAUUGCGUGCAAGUUGCCGGAAAGACAGAAUUGUUUAUAAUUAUAUGGCAUCUGCAUGUGUAAGAACUCAACAUAGUUUUUUAAGGUUACAGAACACCUUUGAGCGUUAAUUUUGCCCAAAUUGUUUUUACUG
This is a non-coding RNA of Paramuricea clavata, 317 nucleotides long. NCBI's taxonomy places the organism in Eukaryota, Metazoa, Cnidaria, Anthozoa, Malacalcyonacea, Plexauridae. The record is from the annotation of a GenBank genome assembly.